GUCCUUAGCCAUUGCAGCAUCAACACUAGAUUCUUUGUUGGAUCUCAUGGUUGGUGGCAUACUUUGGUUCACUCACUUGUCAAUGAAAAGUAUAAAUAUUUAUAAAUACCCCAUUGGAAAAUUGAGGGUGCAGCCUGUUGGCAUAAUCAUUUUUGCUGCUAUCAUGGUGUCACUAGGUACAAUCUGUAGCUUAAUUUGUUGAUAGUUUUCACAAAUUUUUCUCUUUCUUGCUUCAUUUCCACAUUGAAGGCUGUUUGGCUUCCUUAGUGAACACAUAUAUCAUCUAGUGUGUUUUACUCUGUUUGUUACAGAGUAGAUAAAUUCAUGAGUCUUGGAUGAAACAAGGAAAAAAUAAAGCCUAUUGAGUGACUUUGUUUUAUUAAAUUUGUCUAAAGAAGACGUGUUAUUUGAUUCUAGAAAUUUUCUUUGGUCAUUUUCUGCCGGAAAUCUCUAAAGUAUAUGGUCAUGAUUGCCAACUACAGACACUUAAUAAGGAAUUACAAGAGUUUUGACUAAGCAUUGGACAUGGUAAUGGUACAUAACCAAAUAAGAGGGACUUUUUCUGCUUAUCCUACUACUGCUCUUAGAGAAGAGUUUUCUGAAUAUAUAAUAAGGGGGAAAGAUGCUUAUAAAGUUAUAAUUUUAUUGAAUAAAAAAUAUUAAGUGUAUGUUGGAGUAGCUUAGGAAGGAGAGGUUUGUUACAGGUAGGCAGCUGUAUAAUUAUAAAACCAACAAGUCAGUAAAUUAGCUUAUGUAAGCUUUGAAUUUAGUUCUUUUUUCUUCUUUUUUAACUAAUUUGUUUUUUUUUUGAAUUUGGGAAUAAGUUAUAUCAGAAUGUAUAAUUGCUUGGUUUCAUAUUUUCUAAGAAAAUCCUUUUAAUUGUUUAAUUUCUCUUGUGUUGAGGAGGUUUUGCUUUUGUUUCAUUAUUUGGCCACACAACAUAUGAUAUAUAUAGUUUAAUUUGUAAAGUAAACCUUCUUUUAAUCUUAUUUGCCAUUAGUUUUGUUUUGAUCACUAUUUGUGAAGUAACUUCUUAGUAAGAAAAAAGAAGAUGCUCAUUUUUGUGUGUUUUGGUCAAAUUUAAGGAACAUUGGAAGGAGAAGAAAAGCCUGAUGCCACAUUUUCCUUCAAGGAAGAUGAUUUUGUCAAAAUUGCAUUUGGAAAGAUGAAUCCCCAGAUUGCUUUCAUGAGAGGCAAAAUCUGGUCAAAGGGAAUAUGCAACUCUUUUCAGUGGAACAACAGAGAAGUCAAGCUCUGGAAGCUCAUGCUACUGCUUUUGCACAAUUUAAAGUUCAAGGGAAUGAGAAUCCUUAUACUCUCAUUUCCUUUGCAACAAAGACUUUUAAUGCUGGCCAAAUUACAUCAAAGCUGCAUGUUAUAGAUCUUGGUGCCCAACCAGGCGGUGUGUUUUGCUUUAAUGGGCAUUGUUAGCUCAUUUCAUGCUCAAGAAAUUGAUGUGAGUGGGCAAUUGGAGAGUCGAGUGUGGUUCUAGCCUUCGGGUACUGUGUGACUUCAGGCCAUCAACUACAGAGGUUAACAUAACAAUAAAGCUUUUACUUGUGUUGCUUUU
Humulus lupulus (European hop) is the source of this 1570-nucleotide long non-coding RNA. RefSeq lists it as uncharacterized. The transcript has 5 exons. NCBI's taxonomy places the organism in Eukaryota, Viridiplantae, Streptophyta, Magnoliopsida, Rosales, Cannabaceae. The record is from RefSeq and is a predicted model, not a curated record.